CAUGCAAGUCGAACGGUUAAAGCAUCUUCGGAUGUGUAUAAAGUGGCGAACGGCUGAGUAACACGUGGGCAACCUGCCCUUUGCACUGGGAUAGCCUCGGGAAACCGAGGUUAAUACCGGAUACUCCAUAUUUGUCGCAUGGCGAAUAUGGGAAAGCUCCGGCGGCAAAGGAUGGGCCCGCGGCCUGUUAGCUAGUUGGUGGGGUAGUGGCCUACCAAGGCAAUGAUGGGUAGCCGGGUUGAGAGACCGACCGGCCAGAUUGGGACUGAGACACGGCCCAGACUCCUACGGGAGGCAGCAGUGGGGAAUCUUGCACAAUGGGCGAAAGCCUGAUGCAGCGACGCCGCGUGCGGGAUGAAGGCCUUCGGGUUGUAAACCGCUUUCAGCAGGGACGAGGCCGCAAGGUGACGGUACCUGCAGAAGAAGCCCCGGCUAACUACGUGCCAGCAGCCGCGGUAAUACGUAGGGGGCAAGCGUUAUCCGGAUUCAUUGGGCGUAAAGCGCGCGUAGGCGGUCUGUUAGGUCAGGAGUUAAAUCUGGGGGCUCAACCCCUAUCCGCUCCUGAUACCGGCAGGCUUGAGUCUGGUAGGGGAAGAUGGAAUUCCAAGUGUAGCGGUGAAAUGCGCAGAUAUUUGGAAGAACACCGGUGGCGAAGGCGGUCUUCUGGGCCAUGACUGACGCUGAGGCGCGAAAGCUAGGGGAGCGAACAGGAUUAGAUACCCUGGUAGUCCUAGCUGUAAACGAUGGACACUAGGUGUGGGGAGAUUAUACUUUCCGUGCCGCAGCUAACGCAUUAAGUGUCCCGCCUGGGGAGUACGGUCGCAAGACUAAAA
RNAcentral lists this ribosomal RNA (833 nucleotides) under uncultured bacterium. RNAcentral's name for it is "bacterial SSU rRNA". It matches the Rfam family "Bacterial small subunit ribosomal RNA", at positions 54 to 899 of the family's 1533-position model. The record is from RNAcentral.